AACUCAUGCCUUUCCUCCCCAACUUGUUUUUGGUCUUGGUGUUUUAUCACAGCAAUCGAUAUUCUAAGACAACACACUUUAAAACCAUUAACAUUGUUUGUACAUCGCAGGUGCAAUAGAGUUUAAGCACACACAGGAAAAGAAGAUGUUGACUCCGCAGAUGAAAGCACUCGUCCUGGAAGCCUGGUGGCUCCAGUUCUGUCCCCAGAAUCCAUGCAAAAAGCCCAAUACAGCAGCAUUCAUCUGUAACUCCAGCACUCCUGUGUUUCGAUAGGAGGUAGAGACAGGAGAGUCGGUAGGAAACUCGAAGAGCUAGCCUGGAGUAUACAACAUGAUGACAGAAACAGCCAAAGGGACCCUGCCUCAGGAAAAAAAAAAAGGCAGAAGAGAAUCCACUCUGAAAAACCUGUCAUCUGGCCUCCAUGUGUGGUGUGCAUCAUCUCUUACACACAUGCGCAUAUGCACACACACACACACUCUCACUCACACACACUCACAUGCACCUGCACACACUUAAAUCCUUUGUUUAAAAAAUAGUUAAAACGAUAAAACUUAUGCAUAUUUUCCCACAACAACGGUCUGUGAACACAGAGCAAGGAAUGCAUAUUUGAGCUCAGUGCAUGCGGCCAUUGUCUUCCUAUGUGUGCUCAGCGGAAUCCUUGUUGCAGAGGCAUCUCUCUUCCUUAUUCCAGAAGGCUGAGAACUUGCCGUUUACGAGCUUGUCAGUUCUGGUGAGUCUUUCCAUAUCACAGCUGGCAUGCCUGGAGACCCUGCCUUUUACCAUGGAGACCUACAAAUCACAGUCCACCCGAGGAUGAGGACCCCCUUCUUCACUGGAACCAGGGUCAAGGGAGGCCUCCCUUGCCUCACGAUCCCGCCCUUUGGGGUUCUUUAUGGCUACCUCACUGCACUGCAGGGAUGGGGUUUGUUAGCAUUGUGUACCCUGAGUCAAAUGACUUGGCUAAACCAAGGUAAGUCAUUUCUCAUGUCAUGCGGAUCCAUUCCACAGAGAAAAAGCCCUGCACCUUCUGCACUUGAAAGCCAGACUGACGGCCCAGGUUGCCAUGGAGACCAUGGAGGCCACCGGAACUGUUGGCUAGUGGACUCUGUCAUUUUUUAAAUAACUGCUUGUCAAGUCCGGGCGCUAACUACAUCUAGGACAGCUCCAGAGAAGCAACCUCCAGAUGCUCCAAUCUCCUGUCACAAACACAGACACUUCUACUGGACCUGUUCCUUCUGACCUAUCCUCAGACGGUUCCACAGAGCCUGGACAGCAAGGAAACAGCCAACUCUCCUAAGACUGGACAAACAUCCCCCAUACCCAUUCUUCUAGGUUCCCUAGAGACACAUCACCCCAACGACAGCACGAAGCAGCCGGAUAUCACAACAACCCUAUUCCUGCUUUGCCAUCACCUCUUUCUAAUUUUUUUUCUUUUUUAAUUAAACCAAAACAGGGGAAUGUUA
Molecule: long non-coding RNA, 1464 nt
Organism: Mus musculus (house mouse)
Lineage: Eukaryota; Metazoa; Chordata; Mammalia; Rodentia; Muridae
Product: predicted gene, 42292
Exons: 2
Source: RefSeq, a predicted model, not a curated record